AGUCAUCAACCCCUCCCGUUUUUGUGCGGGUUCGGGCUGGAUCUGGGGGCUUGCGGCCGCGUAGGCCGCUCCCCUCAAAUGCAUCGGUUGGGCCUGUGGGUCGAACUCGACUGGGCGUUGUACCAUCCUCGCUCUCCCGAGACGUUCCCCUUCUGCGCCCUCCCACGACCUGCCUAUGGAGCGGCGGUCAAGCAAAACUUUGAA
RNAcentral lists this unclassified non-coding RNA (204 nucleotides) under uncultured Trechispora. RNAcentral's name for it is "sequence contains ITS2". The record is from RNAcentral. Lineage: Eukaryota; Fungi; Basidiomycota; Agaricomycetes; Polyporales; Polyporaceae.